Cyanistes caeruleus (blue tit) is the source of this 727-nucleotide long non-coding RNA. RefSeq lists it as uncharacterized. Lineage: Eukaryota; Metazoa; Chordata; Aves; Passeriformes; Paridae. The record is from RefSeq and is a predicted model, not a curated record.
GGUAUUGAUUCCUGCAGAUCUCAGAUCAUCAUGCGCUCUUCCAGAGGCUAAGUCACUUUGAGGACCUUGUAUAAGCCUUGCUGAAGAGGAAAGGGUAGAGAAAAAAAAAAUCUGCUUCCAUCAAGAUUGUGCUCUUUAAUGAAGAUAAGAGGAAAGCUUAUUUAGCGGGACAUUGGUUUUGAUUUGAAAUUGGGCAAGGAGCUUCUGUAUUCCCUGUUUCAGAGAUGGAAAGCCUAUUGUGGAAAACCAUAUGUAUCAUAAUAUGGCUCCCCUGUUGAUGCAAAAGUGCAGCUAAUGGCAGUGCUUUCUUGCACUAUACCUGUGCAACAGAAGGAACACAGAAAAGGAUACAAAGGAUUAUAAGAUAUUGAGGAAAAUACUAGUAAAGCUUUGUUUUAGUGAAUGAGAGAAGGAGUGUGCUGCAGUGGAGUUGUAAGGAGCAGAAUGAGUGGAAAGGAGGUGGUGCACAUCAUAAAAGCAGUUUUCUCCAUGCUGUGACCUACUCAGCAAGUUGCUGGGAAUCCUGGAGAGCAUGGAAUUGGAUGAGGAAGAACAAACCUUGGUGGAAUGAUAAUCAACUGAACUCUCCCACUUCAAUUACUCUUUGCUUUUUUAAUUUGUUUAAGAUUGAUCUGGCAGAAGAUUAGGAAUGAAACGUAAUAAGAAUUAAAAAUGGGAUUUGCCUGUUACAUGUGUUACAUUUAAAUCCAUUGUAUGUCAGUUACUA